GUGACAUCUAAUAUUUUUUCCCCCUCUUGUUCUACAAGCUAUUUGAAGAAAAAUGUUCCGCUCUAAGUCAGAUUCCUCCGCGUGACGAUGAUGAUGAUGGCGACGAUGAUAACGAUGAUGCUGGAUUGGUGAGGCGAAAUAUGUAUCGGAGAAAAAAGAAGAGAAGAGUUGAUGGGGAUGAAAGCUUUUGUGGAGAAAGAAGAUGAGUUGAUGUAUCUUAGUUUUUUUUUAAAUUUAACUCCUUGUUUAACUUCUUGGAUUAUUAGACUUUAUAAAUAUUUGAGUGUUGAACUUGUAUAA
Long non-coding RNA from Zingiber officinale, 300 nucleotides. RefSeq lists it as uncharacterized. Lineage: Eukaryota; Viridiplantae; Streptophyta; Magnoliopsida; Zingiberales; Zingiberaceae. The transcript has 4 exons. The record is from RefSeq and is a predicted model, not a curated record.